RNAcentral lists this ribosomal RNA (119 nucleotides) under Triticum aestivum (bread wheat). Lineage: Eukaryota; Viridiplantae; Streptophyta; Magnoliopsida; Poales; Poaceae. The record is from RNAcentral.
GGAUGCGAUCAUACCAGCACUAAAGCACCGGAUCCCAUCAGAACUCCAAAGUUAAGCGUGUUUGGGCGAGAGUAGUACUAGGAUGGGUGACCUCCUGGGAAGUCCUCGUGUUGCAUUCC